Molecule: ribosomal RNA, 257 nt
Filed under: uncultured bacterium
Lineage: Bacteria
Description: partial small subunit ribosomal RNA
Rfam family: Bacterial small subunit ribosomal RNA
Source: RNAcentral
AGGACGAACGCUGGCGGCGUGCUUAACACAUGCAAGUCGAGCGGUGAUCCUCCUUCGGGAGGUGAUCAGCGGCGAACGGGUGGGUAACACGUGGGCAACCUGCCCCUCACACUGGGAUAACCUCGGGAAACCGGGGCUAAUACCGGAUACGACCUCGAGCGGCAUCUCUUGAGGUGGAAAGCUCCGACGGUGAGGGAUGGGCCCGCGGCCUAUCAGCUUGUUGGUGGGGUAAUGGCCUACCAAGGCGACGACGGGUA